Molecule: ribosomal RNA, 249 nt
Filed under: uncultured Prevotella sp.
Lineage: Bacteria; Pseudomonadati; Bacteroidota; Bacteroidia; Bacteroidales; Prevotellaceae
Description: partial 16S ribosomal RNA
Rfam family: Bacterial small subunit ribosomal RNA
Source: RNAcentral
UGAGUAACGCGUAUCCAACCUUCCCAUAACUACGGGAUAACCCGUUGAAAGACGGCCUAAUACCGUAUGACAUCGUUUGCUGACAUCAAAUAACGAUUAAAGGUUUAGCGGUUAUGGAUGGGGAUGCGUCUGAUUAGCUUGUUGGCGGGGUAACGGCCCACCAAGGCGACGAUCAGUAGGGGUUCUGAGAGGAAGGUCCCCCACAUUGGAACUGAGACACGGUCCAAACUCCUACGGGAGGCAGCAGGU